Coregonus clupeaformis (lake whitefish) is the source of this 360-nucleotide long non-coding RNA. RefSeq lists it as uncharacterized. The record is from RefSeq and is a predicted model, not a curated record. The transcript has 3 exons. NCBI's taxonomy places the organism in Eukaryota, Metazoa, Chordata, Actinopteri, Salmoniformes, Salmonidae.
UUUGCAGUCAAUGUAACGACGUAAACUCCCUGUUUUGACUGUCAGUAAAGCUACCAAGCAUUGAAGGAAGGCAGCUAGCUAACUAACGUUAGUUGUUGGUGGCCCUUAUAACAAACCUGGUGAAAGCUAGCUAGCUGGAGCGAUGGUCGUGUCAAUUCACUGUUUGAUGGAGCCCUGCUGGACACGCCUGCUAGAGAGAGAUAGGGUUGACAGCCAGAGGCCAGAUGGCGUGCACCAGUAUUCCCGAGUCGUUUUAGUUGCCAUGGAGAGUGCAUGCCUUUGAUAUGGUUAACCGUUACCAUGGGGACUCCCUAUCACAAUGUACCUCAAGCAAUCUUUAAAUAUAUAUAUAUAUAUAUG